GAGACUUCCUCAGUCCGGGCUUCACGCAUCUGCAGUGCUGCGCCGGGACCCGGGAGUGUCCUCCGCCACCUGCCGGCGAGACCACAUUCCUGUCCUUGCCACACCGCUGCCUCAGCACCUUCACGUCAUGAUAUAUUUUAAAUCCCAGCCACGUCCCUCCCACCCUCCGCUGCUGCCGGGACGGCGGACGAGUGGCGACGAGGAAGAUCAGUGGAGUUAAUCCGAAAACAGUGAUGGCAGCCUCCAGCCAUGACUGAGUGGUGGUGCUGGGCUGUGGGUCCCUUGUCACACACCCCUGCAUUGCUGUCAAGCUGAGCAACACCACAACUUACCCAAGCAAUACCAAGCCAGCUUGGUUUUGGCCAGUUCCAGCUCCAGCUCCCGCACCUGCUGCUGGAGCCUGGUUACUGCAGGUGACUCCUCCAGACCCAUCUCUACUGUUGGGCCACAGACAGGGGAGAGCAAGGCACUACACUUCUCACAUGAAGCCACCUUAGCCUGCAACACAACACUCCAUUAUCUUCAGCACCAAGCUCAAAUACAAAAAUUUAAACUUGUGUAGGUAUAUGAAUAUAUUUAGAAUAGAAGCUAAUGAGACA
Molecule: long non-coding RNA, 599 nt
Organism: Scylla paramamosain (green mud crab)
Lineage: Eukaryota; Metazoa; Arthropoda; Malacostraca; Decapoda; Portunidae
Exons: 3
Source: RefSeq, a predicted model, not a curated record